GGUGCGGCAGGCCCACUCAAGGGCACUUAGAACUCAAAAUAUCCAUGGUAGUACUGUAACUUACCGAUAGCAGUAGUGUACACUAUCUUGAGGAUGGACUAAGGUCUUAUAGAGAAAGGUAAAGGAAAAGGACCCCUGGACAGAUUAAGUCCAGCCAAAGGUGACUAUGGGGGGCAGCGCUCAUCUUGCUUUCAGGCCAAGGGAGCCGGCGUUUGUCCACAGACAGCUUUCCGGGUCAUGUGGCCAGCACGACUAAACCACUUCUGGAACAACAGAACACUGUGACAGAAACCAGAGUGAAUGGAAACGCCCUUUAUCUUCCCGCCGCAGCGGUACCUAUUUAUCUACUUGCACUGGUAUGCUUUCGAACUGCUAGGCUAGCAGGAGCUGGGACAGAGCAAUGGGAGCUCACCCCGUCAUAGGGAUUCGAACUGCCGACCUUCUGCUUGGCAAGCCCAAGAGGCUCAGUGGUUUAGACCACAGCGCCACCCGCAUCCAAUAGUAGUAGAGUACACUAUCUUGUGGAUGGUCUUAUCUACACCCUACACUGAAAGCAUAUCCAACACACAUUUAAAGCACAUGGGUUUCCCCCAAAUAAUCCUGAGAACUGAGGUCAAAGCUACAACAAGCUAUAUCCUUUACAAACUACAUAUUCUCCUUUUCUCAUAAUUCCAGAAACCAAGACCAUCCAGUGACGUGAAUGAUGGGAGACUCAGGACAGGCGGAAG
Non-coding RNA from Podarcis lilfordi (Lilford's wall lizard), 728 nucleotides. The record is from the annotation of a GenBank genome assembly. NCBI's taxonomy places the organism in Eukaryota, Metazoa, Chordata, Lepidosauria, Squamata, Lacertidae.